Molecule: non-coding RNA, 30 nt
Filed under: Mus musculus (house mouse)
Lineage: Eukaryota; Metazoa; Chordata; Mammalia; Rodentia; Muridae
Source: RNAcentral
UUUGUGGAUGUAUGUGCUUUUACUCUUUAU